Molecule: ribosomal RNA, 508 nt
Filed under: uncultured bacterium
Lineage: Bacteria
Description: partial 16S ribosomal RNA
Rfam family: Bacterial small subunit ribosomal RNA
Source: RNAcentral
GAUGAACGCUAGCUACAGGCUUAACACAUGCAAGUCGAGGGGAAACGACAUCGAAAGCUUGCUUUUGAUGGGCGUCGACCGGCGCACGGGUGAGUAACGCGUAUCCAACCUGCCCACCACUUGGGGAUAACCUUGCGAAAGUAAGACUAAUACCCAAUGAUAUCUCUAGAAGACAUCUGAAAGAGAUUAAAGAUUUAUCGGUGAUGGAAGGGGAUGCGUCUGAUUAGCUUGUUGGCGGGGUAACGGCCCACCAAGGCUACGAUCAGUAGGGGUUCUGAGAGGAAGGUCCCCCACAUUGGAACUGAGACACGGUCCAAACUCCUACGGGAGGCAGCAGUGAGGAAUAUUGGUCAAUGGACGGGAGUCUGAACCAGCCAAGUAGCGUGCAGGAUGACGGCCUUAUGGGUUGUAAACUGCUUUUAUAAGGGAAUAAAGUGAGUCUCGUGAGACUUUUUGCAUGUACCUUAUGAAUAAGGACCGGCUAAUUCCGUGCCAGCCGCCGCCGUAA